Molecule: long non-coding RNA, 1188 nt
Filed under: Homo sapiens (human)
Lineage: Eukaryota; Metazoa; Chordata; Mammalia; Primates; Hominidae
Description: HSALNT0316317
Source: RNAcentral
ACAUUUCACUAUCUGAAGAGCAGAAAAUGUGUUAAUAGGAGCCUGGUGAGUGGAGGAGACUGAAGAUGGAGAGAGAGCCUGGACCUCAACAUGAGCAUCUGGAGCCAUUUGGCAGCAUUAGGCUGUGACCGCUUAGAGAACCGAAAGGUGCAGAGCUUUAAAGGAUUAUGGAGUCUGAAGACCAAAUGGGAUGAUGGAGAACAGCUAUUCAGUGGUACAAAUGUAAAUGCUCCCAGGCCCGGGCAGAAAAGAGAAAACAUUUCCAUGGAAGAGGAAACAGGAAAUUCCAACAGAUCAGCAACAGUUGGAGUGCUAACCUGUCACUGGAAUGGGAAAAAAAAUGCUGUCGUUGACACAUCUUUUCCUUGUUUUUGACACAAAUUAGAAUUGAGUUUGGUUUUGCCCAUCUGAAAUAUCUGUAAAGACUCUGAGGACAGAACAGAUACUUUGGAGUUUUCUUCAAACUUGCAUAGCUCAAGGGAAUCCCAUUCAGGAUGCCACAUUACAUUCAGUAUGUCUUCUUAGACUCCUAUGGGCUGUGACAGUAUCUCAGAAUUUCCUUGCUUUUGAAUAUAUUGAGUUUUGAAACACCACCUGGAACACAGCUGUGACUUGAUAAACAAGUGAAACAUUCUUUGGUGUGGUGAGGGGAAAACAAAUUUCUCAAAGGACACGCACCAUGGUGUAUGAGAGGACACUGGAGCCCAGCCAGCAUCUGACAUGCUGAAUUCAAAGUGCAGGUGAAAGUAGGACAACUGAUUCACAAGCUGGGAUGCCUGUGUUGUUGUUUGCCAGUGUGCGUGUGUGUGUUUUCCUGGCACCCUUCAUUCAUUCCCCAGCACAGUUGACAUCAGGUUGGAAGCAGUGAGUUCUGAGGGAGACUGCUAGAGGACCCAACUUGGAGAAUCAACGAUCUGCGAUGAAGAUAAUGAAGAUAAAGACAAUGUCAAUGUCAGCGUCCAAAAUCAUAAGGACCCUUUAAGAAGCUUCCAGAGCAGAAGUGACUGUGCAAGAAGGGCCAAUAAAGUCUAGGCAAUGCACGACCAGGCGCGGUCGCUCACGCCUGUAAUCCCAGCACUUUGGGAGGCCGAGGUGGUUGGAUUACCUGAGGUUAGGAGUUUGAGACCAGCCUGACCAACAUAGUUUCACCCCAUCUCUACUAAAAAAAAAAAAAAAAACAAAACAAAA